Molecule: long non-coding RNA, 410 nt
Organism: Prunus dulcis (almond)
Lineage: Eukaryota; Viridiplantae; Streptophyta; Magnoliopsida; Rosales; Rosaceae
Exons: 4
Source: RefSeq, a predicted model, not a curated record
UGUUGCUUGUUGGAGGGGGAGCAUUUUGAGAGAAAUACUCGUCAUUCGUCUGUCGAACAAAUCGACAUAUGUGAAAUAGACACAAUGAUCAUUGAUGUUUAUAAGCGCUUUCUCCCCGAGGUAGCAGUGGGAUAUGAGGAUCCCAGAGUGCAAGUACACAUAUCAAAUGGGAGUUGAGUUCAUGAAGACUGUUCCUCAAGGCACAUAUGAUGCCAUCAUGCUUGAUGCUUUCCAAAACAUGGGUCCUACAUCAAAAGAACUUUCUGAGCAAGGGCUCUUCGCCCCGGCGAUGUUAUGUCUACCCCCCGGCCAGACAGCUUCUGGCAUAAAGACUUUGUUCACUGUGCAGAUACCAUAGCAAACUGCGCAAAAAUAUUUAAGGGCUCUGUCAACUAUGCCUGGACAACAAU